This 466-nucleotide ribosomal RNA is filed under the name uncultured bacterium. RNAcentral describes it as "partial 16S ribosomal RNA". It matches the Rfam family "Bacterial small subunit ribosomal RNA", at positions 28 to 507 of the family's 1533-position model. The record is from RNAcentral.
GAUGAACGCUGGCGGCGUGCCUAACACAUGCAAGUCGAACGGAAAGGCCCAAGCUUGCUUGGGUACUCGAGUGGAGAACGGGUGAGUAACACGUGGGUGAUCUGCCCUUCACUUCGGGAUAAGCCUUGGAAACUGGGUCUAAUACCGGAUAGGACCACAUUUUGGAUGGUGUGGUGGAAAGAUUCUGUGUGUGGGAUGAGCUCGCGGCCAAUCAGCGUGUUGGUGGGGUAAUGGCCUACUAAGGCGUCGGCGGGUAGCCGGCCUGGGGGGGUGUACGGCGACAUUGGGACUGAGGGACGGCCCAGACUCCGACGGGCGGCAACGGUGGGGAAUAUUGCACAAUGGGCGCAAGCCUGAUGCAGAGGCGCCGCGUGGGUGAUAACGGGCUUCGGGUUGUGAACGCCUUUCGCUAUGGACGAAGCGUUAUGUGACGGUACCUGGAGAAGAAGCACCGGCUAACUACGUG